GACAGCGGCGAUAGCACGUUGAAUUCACCAGUUCCUCAUGGAUCACUCGAGUUAAGCAACGUAGCACGUGCUUGAUACAAAAUGGGUGAUCAUCUGGACAAUCGCGUGCUGCUGGCU
Molecule: ribosomal RNA, 117 nt
Filed under: Diaphorina citri (Asian citrus psyllid)
Lineage: Eukaryota; Metazoa; Arthropoda; Insecta; Hemiptera; Psyllidae
Source: RNAcentral